GACAGGGUCGCCUUUGGCGCCAAUGUGAGAGAGCUCUGGCUUAUGGAUGCCUUUGAGGUUCACAAGAGAAGGAAGUGAUAGCUUGAUGGGGAUUGCCACGCUGAGGGCCAGAAAGAAAACGUCCAGAAGCCCAACUAGCUGGAUAAUGGUUGUGUCCAUGGAGACAGCAGAGUGAUUGUCUGUGAGCUACCUGCAGCCUCAGAUUCCAGAAGUUCCUCUCGUAAAGAUGUUUAUGCUGCACAAAUGUCAUAGCUGGCAUCAUCUUAGAAGAGGCAUCCCCACCCAUAUGUGUGAGAAAAGGGAGA
This is a long non-coding RNA of Rhineura floridana, 305 nucleotides long. RefSeq lists it as uncharacterized. The record is from RefSeq and is a predicted model, not a curated record. NCBI's taxonomy places the organism in Eukaryota, Metazoa, Chordata, Lepidosauria, Squamata, Rhineuridae. The transcript has 3 exons.